AGAGGAAUAUUGGUCAAUGGGCGAGAGCCUGAACCAGCCAAGUAGCGUGCAGGAUGACGGCCCUAUGGGUUGUAAACUGCUUUUAUAUGGGAAUAAAGUGAGGGACGUGUCCCUUAUUGCAUGUGCCAUACGAAUAAGGACCGGCUAAUUCCGUGCCAGCAGCCGCGGUAAUACGGAAGGUCCAGGCGUUAUCCGGAUUUAUUGGGUUUAAAGGGAGCGUAGGCUGUUUGUUAAGCGUGUUGUGAAAUGUAGGAGCUCAACUUUUAGAUUGCAGCGCGAACUGGCAGACUUGAGUGCGCACAACGUAGGCGUAAUUCAUGGUGUAGCGGUGAAAUGCUUAGAUAUCAUGACGAACUCCGAUUGCGAAGGCAGCUUACGGGAGCGCAACUGACGCUAAAGCUCGAAGGUGCGGGUAUCGAACAGG
This 424-nucleotide ribosomal RNA is filed under the name Verrucomicrobiota bacterium. RNAcentral describes it as "Verrucomicrobia bacterium partial 16S ribosomal RNA". It matches the Rfam family "Bacterial small subunit ribosomal RNA", at positions 355 to 776 of the family's 1533-position model. The record is from RNAcentral. Lineage: Bacteria; Pseudomonadati; Verrucomicrobiota.